This 253-nucleotide ribosomal RNA is filed under the name uncultured bacterium. RNAcentral's name for it is "partial 16S ribosomal RNA". It matches the Rfam family "Bacterial small subunit ribosomal RNA", at positions 524 to 776 of the family's 1533-position model. The record is from RNAcentral.
UACGUAGGGGGCAAGCGUUGUCCGGAAUCAUUGGGCGUAAAGCGCGUGUAGGCGGCCCGAUAAGUCCGCUGUGAAAGUCCAGGGCUCAACCCUGGGAUGCCGGUGGAUACUGUCGGGCUCGAGUCCGGAAGAGGCGAGUGGAAUUCCUGGUGUAGCGGUGAAAUGCGCAGAUAUCAGGAAGAACACCAAUGGCGAAGGCAGCUCUCUGGGACGGUACUGACGCUGAGACGCGAAAGCGUGGGGAGCGAACAGG